UACGUAGGGUGCGAGCGUUGUCCGGAAUUAUUGGGCGUAAAGGGCUCGUAGGCGGUUUGUCGCGUCGGGAGUGAAAACCCAGGGCUUAACCCUGGGCCUGCUUCCGAUACGGGCAGACUAGAGUCCGGCAGGGGAGACUGGAAUUCCUGGUGUAGCGGUGAAAUGCGCAGAUAUCAGGAGGAACACCGGUGGCGAAGGCGGGUCUCUGGGCCGGAACUGACGCUGAGGAGCGAAAGCGUGGGGAGCGAACAGG
Molecule: ribosomal RNA, 253 nt
Filed under: uncultured bacterium
Lineage: Bacteria
Description: partial 16S ribosomal RNA
Rfam family: Bacterial small subunit ribosomal RNA
Source: RNAcentral